GAUGCAGCUGCUGAUGAAGAUGAUGAUUUGGCAGACACUGCCUCAUCUGAUCGACCUGAGCCAAAACAAAGUUCUGAUCAUCCUGCACCCUCUAGUUUGUCUGAGGACUUGCAUCGUGCUACAAGUAAUGAAACCAUUAAGCCUCCUGAAUGGGUUGAAUGGCGAGAAAACUCUAAUACAAUUGCAACAUCCAAUCAAACCUCGGAUUCAGCUGGUGUUGCUGAUGUGGUCGGGCCUCCUUUACCUAAUGGCGACGUCAAAAAGGAAUCAGAAGCUCCAAAGGAUACUACUCGGUCAAAAGAAGAAAAUGCUCAUAUUCCACCCACUAAUGUGUGCACCAGUAAUGUGAAAGAAGGAUCAUCAGGUGAUACCUCACAGCCUCCAGAAUCAGGUGGCAGCCAAAGCGCUAGCAAUGCUAGUUCAAGUAGUGUGGAGAAGCCCCCUGCUGGAACGGUGGGAUCAUCUAGUGGAGAAACCAAAAAGUGAAGUGUGGAACCACUGUGAAUUCUCGAGGUGCAGUUGCGGGAGAAAAAACCUGGCACUUUUGCUAUUGGUCUGGUGCACUGAUGAGAGUCUCAGCGCUUGCUAUCGGCUGGGACUAAUAUGUGGUUUUGGAGCCUGAUGUAUAUUACUGGGCUUAAAAGUCGAUUUAGCCACAGAUGAUUCUUUCCUCAACUCAUAGGUAAAGAAUGCUCUCUCUUUCCUCUCACUUAUUAAAGGCCUUUAGUGCAGGUGAUUCAGUAGAUCAUACUUUUAUUACUAACACACAACUGCCUCUAGAUGUGUCCAAACUGCCAAAGGGAGUUGUGUUGCUGUACACAUUGAAAGGAUCUUCGUUUUAUAUCAUCUCAUAUUUUGUCAUUUU
Molecule: unclassified non-coding RNA, 865 nt
Filed under: Hevea brasiliensis (rubber tree)
Lineage: Eukaryota; Viridiplantae; Streptophyta; Magnoliopsida; Malpighiales; Euphorbiaceae
Source: RNAcentral